AAAAUAGAGAUAUUUACUUUUUAUCUCUAUAAAUAGAGAUUUCUACAAUUCAUCUCUAUUUUUUCCUUUAGUUUUGAGAAAACUCUAUUUUAGAGGUGACCAUUAGAGUACAAUACCUUUAAAAUAAA
This 128-nucleotide small RNA is filed under the name Arabidopsis thaliana (thale cress). RNAcentral describes it as "ATSL152050". The record is from RNAcentral. Lineage: Eukaryota; Viridiplantae; Streptophyta; Magnoliopsida; Brassicales; Brassicaceae.